UACAGAGGGUGCAAGCGUUGUUCGGAAUUAUUGGGCGUAAAGGGCGCGUAGGCGGUGCGGUAAGUCUGCAGUGAAAUCUCUGGGCUCAACUCAGAGUCUGCUGUAGAAACUGCCGUGCUUGAGUGUGGGAGAGGUGAGUGGAAUUCCCGGUGUAGCGGUGGAAUGCGCAGAUAUCAGGAAGAACACCAACGGCGAAGGCAGCUCGCUGGGACGUAACUGACGCUGAGGCGCGAAAGCGUGGGGAGCGAACAGG
This 253-nucleotide ribosomal RNA is filed under the name uncultured bacterium. RNAcentral's name for it is "partial 16S ribosomal RNA". It matches the Rfam family "Bacterial small subunit ribosomal RNA", at positions 524 to 776 of the family's 1533-position model. The record is from RNAcentral.